GGCUACCACCAAGCACCUACACCAACAGCUAAUUGUACGAAGUAUAAACUGAUUGCUUUUUUUGGGGGAAAAAAAUAAAUAAAUAAAAUAAUGCUCGGCGCAGAGGAUACAGGAACCACUGUCAGACGACACCGGAACUGAUCGGCCGACUUGCUUCCCGACGAUACACGCAGUCGCCGUACAGAGGAGAAAUUGUGAGAGAAAGCAAUGUUUAAAUAAUCAUUCAGUGGCCUGACCACGCGGUUUAAAUUUUGCUACAACCACGCGCUUCUCCAGAGAGUCCAAAGCACGCAGAGCGUCAUUAUUUAUUAGUGGGUUUUCGGGUUAAAUCCGGCCGAAGGUCUAUG
This 347-nucleotide long non-coding RNA is filed under the name Olea europaea subsp. europaea. Lineage: Eukaryota; Viridiplantae; Streptophyta; Magnoliopsida; Lamiales; Oleaceae. The record is from RNAcentral.